CAACAGGGAUUGCCUCAGUAACGGCGAGUGAAGCGGCAACAGCUCAAAUUUUAAAGCUGGCGUCUUCGGCGUCCGCAUUGUAAUUUGGAGAGGCAUCUUCGGUUAGGGCGCCAGCCUAUGUUCCUUGGAACAGGACGUCACAGAGGGUGAGAAUCCCGUGCCUGGCUGGAUGUCCCUUUCCAUGUGAAGUGUCUUCGACGAGUCGAGUUGUUUGGGAAUGCAGCUCAAAAUGGGUGGUAAAUUUCAUCUAAAGCUAAAUAUUGGCGGGAGACCGAUAGCGCACAAGUAGAGUGAUCGAAAGAUGAAAAGCACUUUGAAAAUAGAGUUAAAAAGUACGUGAAAUUGUUGAAAGGGAAGCGCUUGAGACCAGAGUCGGCCGUGGAUGAUCAGCCGCCCUUAUCGGACGGUGCACUCGUCUGCGGUCGGGCCAGCAUCGGUUGAACCGGCGGGACAAAGGCUCGGGAAAUGUGGCUCCCUUCGGGGAGUGUUAUAGCCCCGGGCGCAAUUCCGUCAGGCUCGACCGAGGACCGCGCUUUUAUGCUAGGAUGCUGGCGUAAU
RNAcentral lists this ribosomal RNA (558 nucleotides) under Pseudodiscina melaleucoides. Its description in RNAcentral is "eukaryotic LSU rRNA". It matches the Rfam family "Eukaryotic large subunit ribosomal RNA", at positions 66 to 635 of the family's 3401-position model. Lineage: Eukaryota; Fungi; Ascomycota; Pezizomycetes; Pezizales; Discinaceae. The record is from RNAcentral.